AAGAGACACCAUGAUCAGAAAGUGGUUUUCUCAGGGUGGACUCAUAUCUUGCACUGCAGGUGUGCUGAUUCUUGUAAUAUCACCCUCAGUGUGGGUAGCUUGA
RNAcentral lists this small nuclear RNA (103 nucleotides) under Dromaius novaehollandiae (emu). Its description in RNAcentral is "U1 spliceosomal RNA (ENSDNVG00000003358.1)". The record is from RNAcentral. Lineage: Eukaryota; Metazoa; Chordata; Aves; Casuariiformes; Dromaiidae.